CAAAAUUAUCGCCUGUUCACCUCAGGGCGGCGCUAUUUCCAGCGCCGGGGGGCCGAACGCUGGAGAUGCUCUAAAGGCCCAGGAUCCCAUCUCCCUCCUCCCACCUCCAUCACCAUCCGCCUCCGGCGGCGCCGCCGCCCACCUUCAUAACCCACCACACAAUAGCCCUCCGCGCCAUGCCCCUGCCCGUUCCCACCUCCCGCCUCCUCGCCGCCAUCUCCGCUGCCGCGUCCUCGACUGCAGACCUCCGCCGCCUCUCCCACCUCCUCCUCACCCCCUACACCCCACUCCCCCCGCUCCGCUGCCUCAAUACCCUCCUCAUGGCCCUCGCCCGCCACCGCAUGCUCCCGGACAUGGAGUCCUUCGCAUCCCGCAUGCCCGCGCGCAACCUUCGCACGUACACCACCCUUAUCAAUGCCUACUGCCUCGCCGGCGACCUCCCUGCUGCCAAGCGGCAUCUUGCCUCCCUACUCCGCGCUGGUCUUGCGCCGGACUCUCAUGCGUAUACCUCAUUUGUUCUCGGAUAUUGUCGGGCCGGGCUGCUUUCGCACGCCUGCCGGGUGUUCGUGCUAAUGCCGCUCCGAGGAUGUGCACGCACUGUGUUCACGUACACUGCGCUGCUCCAUGGGCUGUGUGGCGCCGGUAUGGUGCGUGAGGCUGUGGCAGUGUUUGCUGGGAUGCGGGCAGACGGGUGCGCCCCUGACACACAUGUGUAUGCCACGAUGGUGCAUGGACUGUGUGGGACGGGGCGAACUGGUGAGGCAGAGGUUCUUCUCGCGGAGGCAAUGGCUGAGGGUUUUGAGCCAAAUGUGGUCGUCUACAAUGCCCUGAUUGAUGGCUACUGCAAUGCUGGGGACCUGGAGCUCGCGGUUAAGGUUUAUGAGAGGAUGGAUCUUAAGGGGUGCUCAGCGAACGUGCGAACGUAUACUGAGCUGAUAUGUGGGUUCUGCAAAUCUGGCAAGGUGGACAGAGCCAUGGUGCUGUUCAGCCGGAUGGUUGAGGCUGGUUUGGCUCCAAAUGUGGUGACAUACACGGCCUUAAUUCAGGGGCAGUGCAAUAAUGGGCAGUUGGAAUGUGCUUUUAGGAUGCUCCAAUCGAUGGAGGCCACUGAGCUGGUUCCUAGUGAGUGGACUUGCUCGAUGUUGAUUGAUGCUCUGUGCAAACGUGGAAGGGUUGGGGAAGCUCAGUUGUUUCUUGGGUCUCUUAUACAGAAAGGAUACAGAGUGAAUGAGAUUGUCUACACCAGCUUGAUUGAUGGACUGUGCAAGGCAGGAAAGGUUGAUGCUGCUGACAAGUUAAUGCAGAAAUUGGUUUCACAGGGGUUUGUGCUAGACGCUCACACAUACAGUUCACUAAUUGAUGGAUUAUGCAGGCAAAAGGAGUUGUCACAAGCGAUGUUGGUGUUGGAUGAUAUGAUGGUGAAAGGAGUACAACCCAAUGCUGUCACGUAUACCAUUCUAAUUGACGAGCUUGUUAGGGAGCUAGGAUCUGAAGGUUCAAAGAAGAUACUUAAUAAGAUGAUUGCGGCAGGAAUUAAGCCUGAUGUUUUCACCUACACAAUAUUUGUUCGCUCCUACUGUCAUGAGGGAAGGAUGGAAGAUGCUGAACAUAUGAUGGUUGAAAUGGUUGAUCAGGGCAUUUCCCCUAAUUUAGUGACAUAUAACACUUUGAUUAGUGGGUAUGCAAAUUUAGGACUAGCCAGUCAAGCAUUUUCAGUUUUCAAGCACAUGGUUGCUAGUAGGUGCAAGCCAAAUGAGGAGUCCUACACGGCCCUGCUUAGAUUAUUGGUAAAGAAAAAAUCCUCUAAUAAUAUCCUUGCCAGCUCUGUUGAUAUAUGGAAAAUAGCAGAAAUGGAAUAUCUCCAGGAGCUUCUGGAGGAGGUGGUUAAGCUUCAGUUGCUUUCAGACAUUGAAAUUUACAAUUGUUUUCUUAGGUCUUUAUGCCGAGUUGAUAGAUUGGAGGAAACCAAAAUUUUGCUCGGUGAGAUGCAGAGUGCUAACUUGACCCCUGGUGAGGAUGUAUAUACUUCAAUUAUAGGGUGUUGUUGCAGACUAAAAAUGCCAACAGAAGCUUUGACAUUUCUUGAUUCAAUGAUCAAAAGUGGUUAUUUACCACGUAUAGAAUCGUAUAGGCAUAUUAUUUGUUCUCUUUGUGAGGAGGGAAGUAUUAAGAUUGCUAAAAAGGUUUUGGGUGACAUGUUAUUGGAGGAAUACAACUACGAUGAGAUUGUUUGGAAGAUUCUGAUUGAUGGUCUAUUGCGGAAGGGCAAUGCUGCCGAGUGUUUGAUUCUGCUCUCAGUGAUGGAAGAGCAAGAUUAUCGCCCUGGUGAUGCAUUGUAUGCCAAGCUUACAGGGAAGACAAGUCAACACGUGCAACCGGAAGAGAGCGACGGCGCGCGAAACUCACGUAUGACUCAAGAGGCCUCUACGUGGACACAAAGGGGGCCUACCAGCAAUUUUUAAUAAAUUGCGGAAGCCAGGACUUGAACUCAAGACCUUAGCUCCGAUACCAUGUUAAGCUUCAUGCACUAGCCAACGCAACCAAAAGUCCGAACUUAUGGAAAGGGCUAGUGCAAUCCACAUAUACUGUAACAAUAGUCACUUGCUCUUUCAGCGGGCUGUUUCAUCCCUUGGAGGAAGCACACCCUUUCAGAAUACCAUGCAAACUCCACAUAGAAUAGCUCUCAGCCAAUGGCUAGACUUGUAUGUGUCAGGCAUGCAACAGAUUCUCAAUGGUAUUGGGAACUUCUCAACCAACUCGGAGAGGAAUGUGAGCGGUGCAUUCUAUUUUGCAGAUGGCAAGGCAGUUGUCGUCACAGGAAGAAAGAAGGAUCAGGGAUAUCAAUUACCUGCUUGAAGAGAUACAACACCGAAGUUGAAUUGUUUGUUGAGUUGAUUGCUGUAACUUGGUGAAAUUACUAGUUUCUAAUGGUAAAGAGCAUGAAUAUUGACAAUUAUCUAAGUAUGUUCUAGACUGCUCCUCGAAGAAUACUUGAAUGGUAAAUAGGAUAGUCAAAUUCUGGAAGAUUCCAUGGAUGCAACUUAUUGCUAAUGCACCGAGUCAGUUUCUGUAUAUAUGCCGGUUCUUAAUACCGGCAGUAACCUCGAUAGGGUUUCACGCGUAACCAGAAGGCCAAAAGGGAGUCACAUGAGGCAGUUACCCAGGUCCAGUCCAGGUCCUCACGGUGGAGAGUUCCAAGAAUGUUUUGGAAGGCAACUUGAAGACUUUGGUUCCGUUAUUUUAGAAUCACGUGGACGACAGGUGCUGCACACUUCGGUGUAAAGAGGUGUCUGAAAAACUGCGAGGGAGGUGGUUGUUCGGGGCGUCAUAUAUAACCAUAUUCCAGAAUGGUUAGGCAGAUGCUCAGUAUGCUACCAAUACAUUGUAGCGACACCAGCAAUUGUACUUCUGUAGCAUGUAGCGACACCAGCAAUUGUACUUCUGUAGCAUGCCAAAAUAGUAAAUAAGAACAUAACAACUUUGUUCUCUUGGAAA
Molecule: RNA transcript, 3495 nt
Organism: Aegilops tauschii subsp. strangulata
Lineage: Eukaryota; Viridiplantae; Streptophyta; Magnoliopsida; Poales; Poaceae
Source: RefSeq, a predicted model, not a curated record